UACGAAGGGGGCUAGCGUUGUUCGGAUUUACUGGGCGUAAAGCGCACGUAGGCGGAUCGUUAAGUCGGGGGUGAAAUCCUGGAGCUCAACUCCAGAACUGCCUUCGAUACUGGCGAUCUUGAGUCCGGAAGAGGUGAGUGGAACUCCUAGUGUAGAGGUGGAAUUCGUAGAUAUUAGGAAGAACACCAGUGGCGAAGGCGGCUCACUGGUCCGGUACUGACGCUGAGGUACGAAAGCGUGGGGAGCAAACAGG
This 253-nucleotide ribosomal RNA is filed under the name uncultured bacterium. Its description in RNAcentral is "partial 16S ribosomal RNA". It matches the Rfam family "Bacterial small subunit ribosomal RNA", at positions 524 to 776 of the family's 1533-position model. The record is from RNAcentral.